GACGAACGCUGGCGGCGUGCUUAACACAUGCAAGUCGAACGGAAAGGCCCCGUUCUUGUGGGGUGCUAGAGUCGCGAACGGGUGUGUAACACGUGAGUCCCCUGCCUUAGACUUUGGGAUCAUUUCGGGAAUCUGGGGCUAAUCCCGGAUAGGCGCCUCCGCCGUAUGGUGGGGGUUGGAAUGUUUGGGCGGUUGGGGAUGGACUCGCGGCUUAUCCGUUUGUUGGUGGGGUGGUGGCUUACCAAGGCUUUGACGGGUAGCCGGCCUGAGGGGGUGACCGGCCACAUUGGGAUGGGAAUACGGCCCGAACUCCUACGGGGGGCGGCAGUGGGGAUAUUUGCACAAUGGUCGGAAGCCGAAUGCAGCAACGCCGCGUGCGGGAUGACGGCCUUCGGUUUUUAAACCGUUUCCGCCAGUGACGAAGCUUGAGUGACGGUAAUGGGUAAAGAAGCACCGGCUAACUACGUG
RNAcentral lists this ribosomal RNA (468 nucleotides) under uncultured bacterium. RNAcentral describes it as "partial 16S ribosomal RNA". It matches the Rfam family "Bacterial small subunit ribosomal RNA", at positions 28 to 507 of the family's 1533-position model. The record is from RNAcentral.